This 79-nucleotide non-coding RNA is filed under the name unclassified sequences. RNAcentral's name for it is "S15-Methanomicrobia ribosomal protein leader". It matches the Rfam family "S15-Methanomicrobia ribosomal protein leader". The record is from RNAcentral.
AGCACUUUUUAACAAUGUGCUGACAGAUGUAAGUCCGACGUGCGACACCGCACUGCCUCAAAGAUGGCUUUGGGAUUAC